This 1351-nucleotide ribosomal RNA is filed under the name uncultured bacterium. Its description in RNAcentral is "bacterial SSU rRNA". It matches the Rfam family "Bacterial small subunit ribosomal RNA", at positions 28 to 1381 of the family's 1533-position model. The record is from RNAcentral.
GAUGAAUGCUAGCGGCAGGCCUAAUACAUGCAAGUCGAACGAUCGUUUUUGGUUUACUAAAAACGGAGUGGCGCACGGGUGCGUAACACGUAUGCAACCUACCUUUAUCUGGGGAAUAGCCUUUCGAAAGGAAGAUUAAUACCGCAUAAUAUUAUUGAAUGACAUCAUUUAAUAAUCAAAGUUCAGGCGGAUAAAGAUGGGCAUGCGCAACAUUAGCUAGUUGGUGAGGUAACUGCUCACCAAGGCUACGAUGUUUAGGGGGUCUGAGAGGAUGAUCCCCCACACUGGUACUGAGACACGGACCAGACUCCUACGGGAGGCAGCAGUAGGGAAUAUUGGUCAAUGGACGAAAGUCUGAACCAGCCAUGCCGCGUGAAGGACGAAGGCCCUAUGGGUCGUAAACUUCUUUUAUAAGGGAAGAAAAAGCGUUACGUGUAACGCUCUGACAUUACCUUACGAAUAAGGAUCGGCUAACUCCGUGCCAGCAGCCGCGGUAAUACGGAGGAUCCAAGCGUUGUCCGGAUUUAUUGGGUUUAAAGGGUGCGCAGGCGGACUUUUAAGUCAGUGGUGAAAGCCGACAGCUCAACUGUCGAAUUGCCAUUGAAACUGAAAGUCUUGAAUGCGGUCGAGGUAAAUGGAAUGUGUCAUGUAGCGGUGAAAUGCUUAGAUAUGAUACAGAACACCUAUUGCGAAGGCAGUUUACUAGACCGAUAUUGACGCUCAGGCACGAAAGCGUGGGGAGCGAACAGGAUUAGAUACCCUGGUAGUCCACGCCCUAAACGUUGAUCACUCGAUGUUGGCAAUAUACCGUCAGCGUCCAAGCUAAAGCGUUAAGUGAUCCACCUGGGGAGUACGUCCGCAAGGAUGAAACUCAAAGGAAUUGACGGGGGCCUGCACAAGCGGUAGAGCAUGUGGUUUAAUUCGAUGAUACGCGAGGAACCUUACCAGGGCUUGAAAGUUAGUGACAGACUGAGAAAUCAGUCCUUCUUUCGAGACACAAAACUAGGUGCUGCAUGGCUGUCGUCAGCUCGUGCCGUGAGGUGUUGGGUUAAGUCCCGCAACGAGCGCAACCCCUAUCUUUAGUUGCCAUCAGGUUAUGCUGGGGACUCUAAAGAGACUGCCUACGCAAGUAGUGAGGAAGGUGGGGACGACGUCAAGUCAUCAUGGCCCUUACGUCCUGGGCUACACACGUGCUACAAUGGUUGGUACAAUGAGUUGCUACAUGGCAACAUGAUGCUAAUCUCAAAAAGCCAAUCUCAGUUCGGAUUGAGGUCUGCAACUCGACCUCAUGAAGCUGGAAUCGCUAGUAAUCGAAAAUCAGCAAUGUUCCGGUGAAUACGUUCCCAGGCCU